Molecule: ribosomal RNA, 492 nt
Filed under: uncultured bacterium
Lineage: Bacteria
Description: partial 16S ribosomal RNA
Rfam family: Bacterial small subunit ribosomal RNA
Source: RNAcentral
AGUGAACGCUGGCGGUAGGCCUAACACAUGCAAGUCGAACGACAGCACAGUAAGAGCUUGCUCUUACGGGUGGCGAGUGGCGGACGGGUGAGGAAUACAUCGGAAUCUACUUUUUCGUGGGGGAUAACGUAGGGAAACUUACGCUAAUACCGCAUACGACCUACGGGUGAAGGCAGGGGAUCUUCGGACCUUGCGCGAUUGAAUGAGCCGAUGUCGGAUUAGCUAGUUGGCGGGGUAAAGGCCCACCAAGGCGACGAUCCGUAGCUGGUCUGAGAGGAUGAUCAGCCACACUGGAACUGAGACACGGUCCAGACUCCUACGGGAGGCAGCAGUGGGGAAUAUUGGACAAUGGGCGCAAGCCUGAUCCAGCCAUACCGCGUGGGUGAAGAAGGCCUUCGGGUUGUAAAGCCCUUUUGUUGGGAAAGAAAAGCAGCAGGUUAAUACCCCGCUGUUCUGACGGUACCCAAAGAAUAAGCACCGGCUAACUUCGUG